AAUAAAAUUAUGAAAAAGUUGAUAGAUGUCCUAACGUUGAAUUUUAAUGAUAAUUUUAAAUAAGUUAAAAAUAGAGUUUAAAAUUAGAUAGAAGAAAAUUAAUAAAAUUUUAAUAACUUUUACAAAUUAAGGCAGUUUUAUUAAAAUUUAAAAAAAUUAAUAAAAUUGCCAAGACACUGACAUUUUAUCCAUAGGCCUUAAAGUUCCAUAUAAGAACAAAACUAAAAUCACAACCAAAGUAGUGAAUAAUGAAACAGAUGGAAAAUUUUUCACUGUCUUCCUCUAAGACUAAGCACAUGUGGACCCUCGUUAGGUUUCCAUCCUAUCAUUCCAAGAAUCUAGACAUGCAUAAAAUAAUUCUUACCAACGUAAAUAUAUAUACUCAAUUAAUUAAUAAUUAUAAUUUUAAUUAAAAUUAUGAUAAAUCUAUAUAUA
This 435-nucleotide unclassified non-coding RNA is filed under the name Hevea brasiliensis (rubber tree). Lineage: Eukaryota; Viridiplantae; Streptophyta; Magnoliopsida; Malpighiales; Euphorbiaceae. The record is from RNAcentral.